Molecule: ribosomal RNA, 503 nt
Filed under: uncultured bacterium
Lineage: Bacteria
Description: partial 16S ribosomal RNA
Rfam family: Bacterial small subunit ribosomal RNA
Source: RNAcentral
AUUGAACGCUGGCGGCAGGCUUAACACAUGCAAGUCGAGCGGGGUGAUGGUGCUUGCACUAUCACUUAGCGGCGGACGGGUGAGUAAUGCUUAGGAAUCUGCCUAUUAGUGGGGGACAACAUCUCGAAAGGGAUGCUAAUACCGCAUACGUCCUACGGGAGAAAGCAGGGGAUCACUUGUGACCUUGCGCUAAUAGAUGAGCCUAAGUCGGAUUAGCUAGUUGGUGAGGUAAAGGCCUACCAAGGCGACGAUCUGUAGCGGGUCUGAGAGGAUGAUCCGCCACACUGGGACUGAGACACGGCCCAGACUCCUACGAGAGGCAGCAGUGGGGAAUAUUGGACAAUGGGGGGAACCCUGAUCCAGCCAUGCCGCGUGUGUGAAGAAGGCCUUAUGGUUGUAAAGCACUUUAAGCGAGGAGGAGGCUCUUUUGGUUAAUACCCAAGAUGAGUGGACGUUACUCGCAGAAUAAGCACCGGCUAACUCUGUGCCAGCAGCCGCGGUAA